GCCCCCUUUGGGGACAUCCGAUAAAAUUGGAACGAUACAGAGAAGAUUAGCAUGGCUCCUGCGCAAGGAGGACACGCAUAAAUCGAAAAAUGGAUAACAAAAUA
Molecule: small nuclear RNA, 104 nt
Organism: Salvia hispanica
Lineage: Eukaryota; Viridiplantae; Streptophyta; Magnoliopsida; Lamiales; Lamiaceae
Source: RefSeq, a predicted model, not a curated record